GACCAUCCUCCAAGGCUAAAUACUCCUGACUGACCGAUAGUGAACCAGUACCGUGAGGGAAAGGCGAAAAGAACCCCGGCGAGGGGAGUGAAAAAGAACCUGAAACCGUGUACGUACAAGCAGUGGGAGCCCCACCACCAAAGCAUUCUCUGGUGUUGAAGGCCCUGCAAAGCAGCAUCGCGGUGGCGGAGCGUCGUUUGCGACGCCCAACACACAAAACAAGCGGUGAGUGCUUUGGGGUGGGGUGACUGCGUACCUUUUGUAUAAUGGGUCAGCGACUUAUAUUCUGUAGCAAGGUUAACCGAAUAGGGGAGCCGGAGGGAAACCGAGUCUUAAUUGGGCGUUAAGUUGCAGGGUAUAGACCCGAAACCCGG
Molecule: ribosomal RNA, 374 nt
Filed under: Salmonella enterica subsp. enterica serovar Kentucky
Lineage: Bacteria; Pseudomonadati; Pseudomonadota; Gammaproteobacteria; Enterobacterales; Enterobacteriaceae
Description: partial 23S ribosomal RNA
Rfam family: Bacterial large subunit ribosomal RNA
Source: RNAcentral